This 722-nucleotide ribosomal RNA is filed under the name uncultured Bacteroidota bacterium. Its description in RNAcentral is "bacterial SSU rRNA". It matches the Rfam family "Bacterial small subunit ribosomal RNA", at positions 33 to 762 of the family's 1533-position model. The record is from RNAcentral. Lineage: Bacteria; Pseudomonadati; Bacteroidota.
ACGCUACGGCGGCUAAUCAUGCAAGUCGAGGGGUACAGGAAGUGCUUGCACUUCGCUGACGACCGGCGCACGGGUGAGUAUCGCGUAUACAAUCUGCCUCAUACUAGGGGAUAGCCCGAAGAAAUUUGGAUUAAUGCCCUAUAGUAUCUUUUUAAGGCAUCUUAUUAAGAUUAAAGGUUACGGUAUGAGAUGAGUAUGCGUUCUAUUAGCUAGUAGGUGUGGUAACGGCACACCUAGGCUACGAUAGAUAGGGGCCCUGAGAGGGGGAUCCCCCACACUGGCACUGAGACACGGACCAGACUCCUACGGGAGGCAGCAGUAAGGAAUAUUGGUCAAUGGACGAAAGUCUGAACCAGCCAUGCCGCGUGCAGGAUGACUGCCCUAUGGGUUGUAAACUGAUUUUAUAUAGGAAGAAACACUUCUCGUGAGAAAGCUUGACGGUACUAUAAGAAUAAGGAUCGGCUAACUCCGUGCCAGCAGCCGCGGUAAUACGGAGGAUCCAAGCGUUAUCCGGAAUCAUUGGGUUUAAAGGGUCCGUAGGUGGACAAAUAAGUCCAGAGGUGAAAUCCUGCAGCUCAACUGUAGAACUGCCUUUGAUACUGUCUGUCUUGAGUUAUCAUGACGUGGUUAGAAUGUGUUGUGUAGCGGUGACAUGCCUAGAUAUUACCCAGAUACCGAUGCGAAGGCGAUACUUAUAUCAAUGACCUGAUGGACAAACGUGG